RNAcentral lists this transfer RNA (71 nucleotides) under Loxodonta africana (African savanna elephant). It matches the Rfam family "tRNA". From Rfam's summary of the family: Transfer RNA (tRNA) molecules are approximately 80 nucleotides in length. Their secondary structure includes four short double-helical elements and three loops (D, anti-codon, and T loops). The record is from Rfam by way of RNAcentral. Lineage: Eukaryota; Metazoa; Chordata; Mammalia; Proboscidea; Elephantidae.
GCAUUGGUGGUUCAACAGUAGAAUUUUCACCUUGCAUGCAGGCGACCCUGGUUUGAUUCCUGACCAAUGCA